CUACGUGCCAGCAGCCGCGGUAAUACGGAGGGUGCGAGCGUUAAUCGGAAUAACUGGGCGUAAAGGGCACGCAGGCGGUGACUUAAGUGAGGUGUGAAAGCCCCGGGCUUAACCUGGGAAUUGCAUUUCAUACUGGGUCGCUAGAGUACUUUAGGGAGGGGUAGAAUUCCACGUGUAGCGGUGAAAUGCGUAGAGAUGUGGAGGAAUACCGAAGGCGAAGGCAGCCCCUUGGGAAUGUACUGACGCUCAUGUGCGAAAGCGUGGGGAGCAAACAGGAUUAGAUACCCUGGUAGUCCACGCUGUAAACGAUGUCGAUUUGGGGGUUGAACUUUAGGUUUGGCGCCCGUAGCUAACGUGAUAAAUCGACCGCCUGGGGAGUACGGCCGCAAGGUUAAAACUCAAAGGAAUUGACGGGGACCCGCACAAGCGGUGGAGUAUGUGGUUUAAUUCGAAGCAACGCGAAGAACCUUACCUACUCUUGACAUCCAGA
Molecule: ribosomal RNA, 490 nt
Filed under: uncultured bacterium
Lineage: Bacteria
Description: bacterial SSU rRNA
Rfam family: Bacterial small subunit ribosomal RNA
Source: RNAcentral